GACGAACGCUGGCGGCGUGCUUAACACAUGCAAGUCGAACGGAAAGGCCCUGCUUUUGUGGGGUGCUCGAGUGGCGAACGGGUGAGUAACACGUGAGUAACCUGCCCUUGACUUUGGGAUAACUUCAGGAAACUGGGGCUAAUACCGGAUAGGAGCUCCUGCUGCAUGGUGGGGGUUGGAAAGUUUCGGCGGUUGGGGAUGGACUCGCGGCUUAUCAGCUUGUUGGUGGGGUAGUGGCUUACCAAGGCUUUGACGGGUAGCCGGCCUGAGAGGGUGACCGGCCACAUUGGGACUGAGAUACGGCCCAGACUCCUACGGGAGGCAGCAGUGGGGAAUAUUGCACAAUGGGCGGAAGCCUGAUGCAGCAACGCCGCGUGCGGGAUGACGGCCUUCGGGUUGUAAACCGCUUUCGCCUGGGACGAAGCGUGAGUGACGGUAAUGGGUAAAGAAGCACCGGCUGACUACGUG
RNAcentral lists this ribosomal RNA (468 nucleotides) under uncultured bacterium. Its description in RNAcentral is "partial 16S ribosomal RNA". It matches the Rfam family "Bacterial small subunit ribosomal RNA", at positions 28 to 507 of the family's 1533-position model. The record is from RNAcentral.